AUUGAACGCUGGCGGCAUGCCUUACACAUGCAAGUCGAACGGCAGCAUGAUCUAGCUUGCUAGAUUGAUGGCGAGUGGCGAACGGGUGAGUAAUACAUCGGAACGUGCCCUGUAGUGGGGGAUAACUAGUCGAAAGAUUAGCUAAUACCGCAUACGACCUGAGGGUGAAGGUGGGGGACCGCAAGGCCUCAUGCUAUAGGAGCGGCCGAUGUCGGAUUAGCUAGUUGGUGAGGUAAAGGCUCACCAAGGCGACGAUCAGUAGCUGGUCUGGGAGGACGAUCAGCCACACUGGGACUGAGACACGGCCCAGACUCCGACGGGAGGCAGCAGUGGGGAAUUUUGGACAAUGGGCGAAAGCCUGAUUCAGCAAUUCCGCGUGUGGGAAGAAGGCCUUCGGGUUGUAAAGCACUUUUGUCCGGAAAGAAAUGGCUCUGGUUAAUACCUGGGGUCGAUGACGGUACCGGAAGAAUAAGGACCGGCUAACUACGUGCCAGCAGCCGCGGUAA
This 506-nucleotide ribosomal RNA is filed under the name uncultured bacterium. Its description in RNAcentral is "partial 16S ribosomal RNA". It matches the Rfam family "Bacterial small subunit ribosomal RNA", at positions 30 to 523 of the family's 1533-position model. The record is from RNAcentral.